CCUACGGGUGGCAGCAGUGAGGAAUAUUGGUCAAUGGGCGAGAGCCUGAACCAGUCAAGUCGCGUGAGGGAGUACUGCCCUAUGGGUUGUAAACCUCUUUUGUCGGGGAGCAAAAGCCGGACGUGUCCUGCUGUGAGAGUACCCGAAGAAAAAGCAUCGGCUAACUCCGUGCCAGCAGCCGCGGUAAUACGGAGGAUGCGAGCGUUAUCCGGAUUUAUUGGGUUAAAAGGGUGCGCAGGCGGAUUUUUAAGUCAGCGGUAAAAUCGUGGGGCUCAACCCCAUCCAGCCGUUGAAACUGGGGAUCUAGAGUGUGCGAGAGGUAGGCGGAAUGCGUGGUGUAGCGGUGAAAUGCAUAGAUAUCACGCAGAACCCCGAUUGCGAAGGCAGCAUACCGGUGCACAACUGACGCUCAGGCACGAAAGCGUGGGUAUCGAACAGGACUAGAUACCCCUGUAGUC
This 458-nucleotide ribosomal RNA is filed under the name uncultured bacterium. Its description in RNAcentral is "partial 16S ribosomal RNA". It matches the Rfam family "Bacterial small subunit ribosomal RNA", at positions 338 to 795 of the family's 1533-position model. The record is from RNAcentral.